RNAcentral lists this ribosomal RNA (496 nucleotides) under uncultured bacterium. RNAcentral's name for it is "partial 16S ribosomal RNA". It matches the Rfam family "Bacterial small subunit ribosomal RNA", at positions 28 to 506 of the family's 1533-position model. The record is from RNAcentral.
GAUGAACGCUGGCGGCGUGCCUAAUACAUGCAAGUCGAGCGAACAGACGAGGAGCUUGCUCCUCUGAUGUUAGCGGCGGACGGGUGAGUAACACGUGGAUAACCUACCUAUAAGACUGGGAUAACUUCGGGAAACCGGAGCUAAUACCGGAUAACAUGUUGAACCGCAUGGUUCAACAGUGAAAGACGGUCUUGCUGUCACUUAUAGAUGGAUCCGCGCCGCAUUAGCUAGUUGGUAAGGUAACGGCUUACCAAGGCAACGAUGCGUAGCCGACCUGAGAGGGGGAUCGGCCACACUGGAACUGAGACACGGUCCAGACUCCUACGGGAGGCAGCAGUAGGGAAUCUGCCGCAAUGGGCGAAAGCCUGACGGAGCAACGCCGCGUGAGUGAAGAAGGUCUUCGGAUCGUAAAACUCCGUUAUGAGGGAAGAACAAAUGUGUAAGUAACUAUGCACGUCUGGACGGUACCUAAGCAGAAAGCCACGGCUAACUACGU